RNAcentral lists this RNase P RNA (382 nucleotides) under Fidelibacterota bacterium. RNAcentral's name for it is "RNase P RNA component class A". It matches the Rfam family "Bacterial RNase P class A". From Rfam's summary of the family: Ribonuclease P (RNase P) is a ubiquitous endoribonuclease, found in archaea, bacteria and eukarya as well as chloroplasts and mitochondria. Its best characterised activity is the generation of mature 5'-ends of tRNAs by cleaving the 5'-leader elements of precursor-tRNAs. Lineage: Bacteria; Pseudomonadati; Fidelibacterota. The record is from RNAcentral.
GAGGUCAGUUGGAUGGUUGCUCCGAUGCGUCGGAGAGGAAAGUCCGAACUCCACAGGAUAAAGUGCCUCCUAACAGGAGGGUCCUCAGUUGAGGAAACAGAAAGUGCAACAGAAAGCAAACCGCCUCGUUUACGAGGUAAGGGUGAAAUGGUGGUGUAAGAGACCACCGGUUCUGGUGGUAACAUCGGAAGCCGGGUAAACCUCACUUGGAGCAAGAUCAAACAAUCCCAACAACCAUUGGUUGCGAAGUGAUCCGCUUCGUUGCUUGCAGGAGGGAUGGGUAGAUUGCAAGAUUCGGAUUGUGAAAUUCGAACUAGAUGAAUAACCAUCGGUUCCGCUGUUGCGGAAGAUACAGAAUUCGGCUUAUAGACUGAUCUCAAAA